UACGUAGGGUGCGAGCGUUGUCCGGAAUUAUUGGGCGUAAAGAGCUCGUAGGCGGUGUGUCGCGUCGGCCGUGAAAACCUGCAGCUUAACUGUGGGCUUGCGGUCGAUACGGGCAUCACUGGAGUUCGGCAGGGGAGAGUGGAAUUCCUGGUGUAGCGGUGAAAUGCGUAGAUAUCAGGAGGAAUACCGGUGGCGAAAGCGACUCUCUGGACGGCAACUGACGCUGAGGCACGAAAGCGUGGGGAGCAAACAGG
Molecule: ribosomal RNA, 254 nt
Filed under: uncultured bacterium
Lineage: Bacteria
Description: partial 16S ribosomal RNA
Rfam family: Bacterial small subunit ribosomal RNA
Source: RNAcentral